Molecule: ribosomal RNA, 639 nt
Filed under: uncultured Actinomycetes bacterium
Lineage: Bacteria; Bacillati; Actinomycetota; Actinomycetes
Description: bacterial SSU rRNA
Rfam family: Bacterial small subunit ribosomal RNA
Source: RNAcentral
CGCGGCCUAUCAGCUUGUUGGUGAGGUAACGGCUCACCAAGGCAUCGACGGGUAGCUGGUCUGAGAGGAUGAUCAGCCACACUGGGACUGAGACACGGCCCAGACUCCUACGGGAGGCAGCAGUAGGGAAUCUUGCGCAAUGGGCGAAAGCCUGACGCAGCAACGCCGCGUGGGGGAUGAAUGCCUUCGGGUUGUAAACCCCUUUCAGCAGGGACGAAAAUGACGGUACCUGCAGAAGAAGCUCCGGCCAACUACGUGCCAGCAGCCGCGGUAAUACGUAGGGAGCGAGCGUUGUCCGGAAUUAUUGGGCGUAAAGAGCUCGUAGGCGGUUCAGUAAGUCGGGUGUGAAAACUCAAGGCUCAACCUUGAGACGCCACUCGAUACUGCUGUGACUUGAGUCCGGUAGAGGAGUGUGGAAUUCCUGGUGUAGCGGUGAAAUGCGCAGAUAUCAGGAGGAACACCAGCGGCGAAGGCGGCACUCUGGGCCGGUACUGACGCUGAGGAGCGAAAGCAUGGGGAGCAAACAGGAUUAGAUACCCUGGUAGUCCAUGCCGUAAACGUUGGGCACUAGGUAUGGGAUCAUAUCAACGGAUUCCGUGCCGUAGCUAACGCAUUAAGUGCCCCGCCUGGGGAGUACGG